This 103-nucleotide ribosomal RNA is filed under the name Bacillus mycoides. The record is from RNAcentral. RNAcentral also lists the same sequence under 6 other names. Lineage: Bacteria; Bacillati; Bacillota; Bacilli; Caryophanales; Bacillaceae.
CAGAGAGGUCACACCCGUUCCCAUACCGAACACGGAAGUUAAGCUCUCUAGCGCCGAUGGUAGUUGGGACCUUGUCCCUGUGAGAGUAGGACGUCGCCAAGCA